GACGAACGCUGGCGGCGUGCUUAACACAUGCAAGUCGAACGGAAAGGCCUGCUUUCCCUUGUGGAUUGCGGGUACUCGAGUGGCGAACGGGUGAGUAACACGUGAGUGAUCUGCCCCCAACUUGGGUAUAAGCCUGGGAAACUGGGUCUAAUUCCCGAUAGGACUGCAGGGUGGUGCCUGUGGUGGAAAACGAUUUUCUAGUGGUUGGGGAUGAGCUCGCGGCCUAUCAGCUUGUUGGUGGGGUAAUGGCCUACCAAGGCGGCGACGGGUAGCCGGCCUGGGAGGGUGGACGGGCAAAUGUGGACUGAGAUACGGCCCAGGCUCCUACGGCAGGAAGCAGUGGGGAAUAAUGCACGAGGGGCGGAAGCCUGAGGCAGGGACGCCGCGUGGGGAAUGACGGCCUUCGGGUUGUAAACUCCUUUCGACCGCGAGGAAGCCACCUGGUUGGAAGGGUGGUGACGGUAGUGGUAGAAGAAGCACCGGCUAACUACGUG
RNAcentral lists this ribosomal RNA (494 nucleotides) under uncultured bacterium. RNAcentral describes it as "partial 16S ribosomal RNA". It matches the Rfam family "Bacterial small subunit ribosomal RNA", at positions 28 to 507 of the family's 1533-position model. The record is from RNAcentral.